This 467-nucleotide ribosomal RNA is filed under the name uncultured bacterium. RNAcentral's name for it is "partial 16S ribosomal RNA". It matches the Rfam family "Bacterial small subunit ribosomal RNA", at positions 28 to 507 of the family's 1533-position model. The record is from RNAcentral.
GACGAACGCUGGCGGCGUGCUUAACACAUGCAAGUCGAACGGAAAGGCCCUGCUUUUGUGGGGUGCUCGAGUGGCGAACGGGUGAGUAACACGUGAGUAACCUGCCCUUGACUUUGGAUAACUUCAGGAAACUGGGGCUAAUACCGGAUAGGAGCUCCUGCUGCAUGGGGGGGGUUGGAAAGUUUCGGCGGGUGGGGAUGGGCUCGCGGCUUAUCAGCUUGUUGGUGGGGUAGUGGCUUACCAAGGCUUUGACGGGUAGCCGGCCUGAGAGGGUGACCGGCCACAUUGGGACUGAGAUACGGCCCAGACUCCUACGGGAGGCAGCAGUGGGGAAUAUUGCACAAUGGGCGGAAGCCUGAUGCAGCAACGCCGCGUGCGGGAUGACGGCCUUCGGGUUGUAAACCGCUUUCGCCUGUGACGAAGCGUGAGUGACGGUAAUGGGUAAAGAAGCACCGGCUAACUACGUG